UUCCUCUUUACUCACAAAUAAGAAUAAAUGCUGGAAAAAGUAAUACUCUGACAGAAAAGGAGGUAGAAAAUGCCAAUGUAGCAAUUUACAAUUUUAAUUCAUCGGCUCUACUGUCUAGUUCACGUUUUUAUACCAGAGUUUCACAUACUACUAACCAGUAAAUUGAGGCUCAAUCUAAAGGAUAUUCCCCCUCACUGUAGUAAAGCAAUGUACACGAGACAGCAUUAAAGUUUCCUCAAAUUUAAUGUUUUAAAGAAGUACAACUAUCAUUAUUAAUACUGCUAUAGUUAUACAUAUGUUAAAGUUCCUAGGCUAUAUAUGACUAUCAAGUAAUAUCAGUAAGCAUUCCUAUCAUAAUAUUCAAGCAAAUGAAGUAACGUUGCCUUUUUGAGGGAAAACAUAUUUUGAAACGUUUACAAGCAGACAUAAAGACAGCUGACAUUCCAACAAGGCACACAUAAUUUAUGAAAAUCUAUUAUGUUCCCAAUUGUACAAACUCAAAGCUAAUCUAAUUCUGAUAUUUAAAAUGUGCCUCUCCCCUCUGGCUCAAAAUGAAAUAACAAACCCUUCCAAUGACUAGACAUUUAAAACCUACUCAAUUUAAUUGCUAACAAUUCAGAGGAGAGGUGCACUGUCCCUCCCAAAAAUUUUAAGAACUUAAUGUUUACCAUGAUCUUAGAUCUUGCAAACAUAAACAACUAAAGAAUUUAGGUGUUUCUUGAUUUAUAUGGAGUCAAAAUUCUAUUCCACUGAGGAGAAAACAAAAAGGGGAGUUGUUUAACGGGUAUGGAGUUUCAGUUUUGCAAGAUGAAAAAGUUCUGGAGAUCUGUUUCACAACAAUGUAAAUGUACUUAACAUGGCUGAACUGUAUUCUUUAGAAACAGUUAAUAUGGUAAAUUUUAUGUUAUGAGUUUUUCAUCACAAAAAAUACAAAAAACUAUUCAAAAAUUCAAUUUUUUACACAAAUUAUUACUAUAAAACAUGGUAGACAUUCUGAUAGGAUAAGUGCUUUUCCUUUUGAAUUAAAAAAAAGCAACCUGUAUUAAAGCCUAUAAUUUGAUGACAUCUAUAUGAUCCUCUUUUUUUCUCUACACUCAAAUGCUGACUUUCCUUUCCUAUCUGCUGUAACCCACUGUCCUGAUCCUACUCUACCCCAUCUCUAAUUCUCUUAGUUCAUGAAUUUAACUAAUUUCCAGUCCAAAAAGGGUCCAGAAUUCAGAACAGACAAACAGCAAUUGGGCAACACAUAGACAGUAUGUUUCUACUAUGUAAAAAUGACCCAGCAAGCUUUGAUAUUUGAACCAGACACAUCUUAAGCAGCAUGCAUUUCAAUAUGCUAAAAGGCUCUUACGGGCUAACACCAUAAAAAUAUAAAUUUAAGAAAUGUAUUUCCAACAUUAAUUAUCAAUUAAUUUUAUGCUUCCAUAGCUAGCUGGUCAAUUUGCAAUGUUUAAAGUUACAAAUAUCUUAUGCAUAAUUUGACCAACUAAACAUUUGUCUAAUAUAUUCCUACACUAAUACAAAAUUAUCUUUUCUUGAAAACCUUCUUGCUUCCAACAAAAUUAAAUAUGUAUAUAGUAUAAGCAGUAAGAAUGUUAAAUUACGUGAACAGAUACCAUUAGAAUAGCACCAUCUGGUAUGUUGUAAUUGUCUGUUUUGAGUAACAACACUAACAAUCUUAGAAGAAUAAAGGAGAAAAUGGUAGGUUGAGGGGUACAGAGAGGAAAUCCAAACACUACUCAAUGACAACUCUUCUGAAACAUUAGGAAAUGUUAUCAGGACCUUUGGAUCUCUUCCUUUUAACUACAGAUUCCUUAAAAUACACAACUGCUGCACAAUAAAUUCUGAGU
Pongo abelii (Sumatran orangutan) is the source of this 1850-nucleotide long non-coding RNA. The record is from Ensembl. NCBI's taxonomy places the organism in Eukaryota, Metazoa, Chordata, Mammalia, Primates, Hominidae.